Molecule: small nuclear RNA, 177 nt
Filed under: Oryctolagus cuniculus (rabbit)
Lineage: Eukaryota; Metazoa; Chordata; Mammalia; Lagomorpha; Leporidae
Description: U4 spliceosomal RNA (ENSOCUG00000018114.2)
Rfam family: U4 spliceosomal RNA (bases 1-112)
About the family: U4 small nuclear RNA (U4 snRNA) is a component of the major U2-dependent spliceosome. The structure of U4 snRNA from yeast and human has been reported.
Source: RNAcentral
AGCUUUGCGCAGUGGCAGUAUAGUAGCCAAUGAGGUUUAUCUGAGGCGUGAUUAUUGCUAAUUGAAAACUUUUCCCAGUACCCCGCCAUGACAACUUGAAAAGCACAGGAUUUACUUUAAGUCCCAUUUGUUUUCAGAGUUCCGAUUAUAGCAAGAAAUAGAUCACAACGUGGGGGA